AUGGAGAGGGAAGCCACGGUCGCCUUCUACCCGCCGGCGCCGGCGCCGCAGCAGCAGCGCCCCACGGCCGCGCAGCCGCUCUCGGCCCGCGCGCCUUCGUCCGGCGGCGGCGUCCCCGCGGGGCGGGGAGGCGGGGGCAGGCAGUACCGCGGGGUGCGGAUGCGCAAGUGGGGCAAGUGGGUGGCCGAGAUCCGGGAGCCCAACAAGCGGUCGCGGAUCUGGCUCGGCUCCUACGCCACCGCCGUCGCCGCCGCGCGCGCCUACGACACCGCCGUCUUCUACCUCCGCGGCCGCUCCGCGCGCCUCAACUUCCCCGACCAGCUCCUCGACGGCGCCCCCGCCGCCGCCGCGCCCGGGGACCUCACCGCCGCCGCCAUCCGCAAGAAGGCCGCCGAGGUCGGCGCGCGCGUCGACGCGCUCCACUCCGGCGGGAUCGGCGUCGGCAUCGGCAUGGGCGGCGCCCCCCCGGCCCCGCCGUCGCCGUCCCAGCGCCGCCGGGCCAAGAACCCCGACCUCAACCGGGAGCCCACCUCCGACACCGACGACGACCAGUGA
RNAcentral lists this ribosomal RNA (555 nucleotides) under Triticum aestivum (bread wheat). RNAcentral describes it as "partial small subunit ribosomal RNA". The record is from RNAcentral. Lineage: Eukaryota; Viridiplantae; Streptophyta; Magnoliopsida; Poales; Poaceae.